GAUGAACGCUGGCGGCGUGCCUAAUACAUGCAAGUCGAGCGAACAGACGAGGAGCUUGCUCCUCUGACGUUAGCGGCGCACGGGUGAGUAACACGUGGAUAACCUACCUAUAAGACUGGGAUAACUUCGGGAAACCGGAGCUAAUACCGGAUAAUAUAUUGAACCGCAUGGUUCAAUAGUGAAAGACGGUUUUGCUGUCACUUAUAGAUGGAUCCGCGCCGCAUUAGCUAGUUGGUAAGGUAACGGCUUACCAAGGCAACGAUGCGUAGCCGACCUGAGAGGGUGAUCGGCCACACUGGAACUGAGACACGGUCCAGACUCCUACGGGAGGCAGCAGUAGGGAAUCUUCCGCAAUGGGCGAAAGCCUGACGGAGCAACGCCGCGUGAGUGAUGAAGGUCUUCGGAUCGUAAAACUCUGUCAUUAGGGAAGAACAAAUGUGUAAGUAACUAUGCACGUCUUGACGGUACCUAAUCAGAAAGCCACGGCUAACUACGUG
Molecule: ribosomal RNA, 497 nt
Filed under: uncultured bacterium
Lineage: Bacteria
Description: partial 16S ribosomal RNA
Rfam family: Bacterial small subunit ribosomal RNA
Source: RNAcentral